RNAcentral lists this long non-coding RNA (335 nucleotides) under Arabidopsis lyrata. RNAcentral's name for it is "long non-coding RNA (ALYR_LNC001670)". Lineage: Eukaryota; Viridiplantae; Streptophyta; Magnoliopsida; Brassicales; Brassicaceae. The record is from RNAcentral.
GUUUUUGUAUUCGAUCUACGCUACUUUAGCAAUCAGGAUCUAGGCUGCAUUUCUCUUUCUUAUACUCAGUCAUACACACGAAUCUUGUCAUAUUGGACUCCAAAAACCCUACACAAGCUUAUUAUGGCUUCCCCAAGUUUUGUAAGUGAGGACGAAGUCCCUAUGAGUGUUUUUGUAUUCGAUCUACGCUACUUUAGCAAUCAGGAUCCAGGCUGCAUUUCUCUUUCUUAUACUCAGUCAUACACACCAAUCUUGUCAUAUUGGACUCCAAAAACCCUACACAAGCUUAUUAUGGCUUCCCCAAGUUUUGUAAGUGAGGACGAAGUCCCUAUGAG